UACGGAGGGUGCGAGCGUUGUCCGGAAUCACUGGGCGUAAAGGGCGCGUAGGCGGUGCGAGAAGCGUGUGGUGAAAGGCCGGGGCUCAACUCCGGCUCGGCCGUGCGGACUCUCGCGCUUUGUGAGUGCUGUAGAGGCGGGCGGAAUUCCGGGUGUAGCGGUGAAAUGCGCAGAUAUCAGGAGGAACACCGAUGGCGAAGGCAGCACUCUGGGACGGUACUGACGCUGAGACGCGAAAGCGUGGGGAGCAAACAGG
Molecule: ribosomal RNA, 256 nt
Filed under: uncultured bacterium
Lineage: Bacteria
Description: partial 16S ribosomal RNA
Rfam family: Bacterial small subunit ribosomal RNA
Source: RNAcentral